AGACCCGAAACCCGGUGAUCUAGCCAUGGGCAGGUUGAAGGUUGGGUAACACUAACUGGAGGACCGAACCGACUAAUGUUGAAAAAUUAGCGGAUGACCUGUGGCUGGGGGUGAAAGGCCAAUCAAACCGGGAGAUAGCUGGUUCUCCCCGAAAGCUAUUUAGGUAGCGCCUCGUGAAUUCAUCUCCGGGGGUAGAGCACUGUUUCGGCUAGGGGGCCAUCCCGGCUUACCAACCCGAUGCAAACUGCGAAUACCGGAGAAUGUUAUCACGGGAGACACACGGCGGGUGCUAACGUCCGUCGUGAAGAGGGAAACAACCCAGACCGCCAGCUAAGGUCCCAA
Molecule: ribosomal RNA, 342 nt
Filed under: Salmonella enterica subsp. enterica serovar Reading
Lineage: Bacteria; Pseudomonadati; Pseudomonadota; Gammaproteobacteria; Enterobacterales; Enterobacteriaceae
Description: partial 23S ribosomal RNA
Rfam family: Bacterial large subunit ribosomal RNA
Source: RNAcentral